Molecule: non-coding RNA, 114 nt
Organism: Salmo salar (Atlantic salmon)
Lineage: Eukaryota; Metazoa; Chordata; Actinopteri; Salmoniformes; Salmonidae
Source: Rfam
GUUUUAUGAAAUGUGUGUCAACUGAUCCCAGAAUCCCCUGGGCCUGGGUUGGCCUUCUGUCAGCUGGUUGUUACUGGGGCUCUGGGGGUAUGAUCUGACAGUCACCCUGAAAAC